AACUCCUCCAGGGGAUGAUUGCAGUGCAUGGAGCCGUGACGGGGCGGAGUCAGGACUUUACACCUCACCACUGCCACAGUGAGAAGUAAUGAAAUUACAGCUCACAGUCAUAGAAGAUAAAAAGGACAGAGAACAUGGGACAGGAGGCUUCAAACCAAAUAUGAGAAGUUUUGCCACCAGAGGGAGGGAGGCGCACCGUGUGGACACUGUCCCGUUCAGGAAGUACCCUUCCUCACAGCGAACAUCACAGCUGGAGUUGAAGCUGAAAUUUCCAUGGGGGUGGGAGCAGCUCAGGUUCCCAUGGGGGGGAGCUGUUAGCAUCCUACAGCGCUGGGCUGGAACAAAGACGUGCUGUCAGGACGAGAUGCUCAACCAGAUUGCUUGAUGACAAACGGCUAGUGGAGACAGUUUCGGAUGGAAGCCUUCGGGAGAGAAGUCGGCAGCUCCUGACCUUCCUCACAGCGAGUCCCCUGGAAGCCUGGGUGGCACGAGCAGUCACAGUCUUAUUGGUCCCGAUCCACGUCCAGACAUCACCCACUUUCCGGAUGCCGAUCCAGUAGUAUUUCGGGUUCCGGGGAAGGAUCUCGUUAAG
Long non-coding RNA from Brienomyrus brachyistius, 592 nucleotides. RefSeq lists it as uncharacterized. The record is from RefSeq and is a predicted model, not a curated record. Lineage: Eukaryota; Metazoa; Chordata; Actinopteri; Osteoglossiformes; Mormyridae. The transcript is spliced from 4 exons.